GUUUGGCACCUCGAUGUCGGCUCAUCGCAUCCUGGGGCUGUAGUCGGUCCCAAGGGUUGGGCUGUUCGCCCAUUAAAGCGGUACGCGAGCUGGGUUCAGAACGUCGUGAGACAGUUCGGUCCCUAUCCGUCGUGGGCGUAGGAAAUUUGAGAGGAGCUGUCCUUAGUACGAGAGGACCGGGAUGGACAUACCUCUGGUGUACCAGUUGUCGUGCCAACGGCAUAGCUGGGUAGCUAUGUGUGGACGGGAUAAGUGCUGAAAGCAUCUAAGCAUGAAGCCCCCCUCAAGAUGAGAUUUCCCAACUUCGGUUAUAAGAUCCCUUAAAGAUGAUGAGGUUAAUAGGUUCGAGGUGGAAGCAUGGUGACAUGUGUAGCUGACGAAUACUAAUCGAUCGAAGACUUAAUCAA
Molecule: ribosomal RNA, 407 nt
Filed under: Staphylococcus aureus
Lineage: Bacteria; Bacillati; Bacillota; Bacilli; Caryophanales; Staphylococcaceae
Description: partial 23S ribosomal RNA
Rfam family: Bacterial large subunit ribosomal RNA
Source: RNAcentral